GUGGGUUGUGUUUACCUAAGCGACUAAGUCGCCCUUUAUGUCUAAGAAACAUAUGAAUUCAUAUUGAUGCAUGUUAAUAAAAUGACAUAGCUAAUGCGUGUGGACAAUGUGAUGCAAACUGCUAAGUAGAUGCAUAUAAAAUGAUGUAAUAUAGAAAUGCUUAUUGACAUAAUGACAUAGUCUAGAAAUGCUAAAUGUAAUGUGCAUGUUAAUAUGAUAAGAAACCAUGCUAGUGAUAUUUGCAUGAUAAUGCAUUGAUAGUACAUGCUAGUAAGUAAAUGCAUAUUAAUACAUAUGUGUAUAAUGAGCAUGUUGGAUAAGAUUCGUGUACAUGUAGACUCGAGAUGACAAUAGGAUGUCAAGUAGAUCGAGUGGCACUUAACCUAGUGUUAAAGAACAUAGGUUGUGAAUUAAUCUAGAGUCAUGUGAACUAGAUCGAGUGGCACUUAACCUAGUGUUAAAAAACAUAGGUUGUGAAUGAAUCUAGAGUCAUGUGAACUAGAUCGAGUGGCAUCUAACCUAGUGUUAAAGAACAUAGGUUGUGAAUGAAUCUAGAGUCAUGUGAACUAGAUCGAGUGGCAUAUAACCUAGUGUUAAAGAACAUAGGUUGAGAAUGAACCUAGAGUUAAUCGAAUCUAGGUGUGUGGUAUUAACCUAGUGUCGAGAACAUAGGUUGAGAAUUGAGCCUAGAGUUAAAGUAAACCUAGGAUACGUGAUAAAGGCAUUGAACCUAGAGUCAGUUGGACCUAGGGUGAAAAGGACACUGGAUAUAACACACUGGACCUGUGCAAAUUGCGAGGUUCGAGUGAUUGGAUGUGUUUCGAGCUUUU
This 830-nucleotide long non-coding RNA is filed under the name Ananas comosus (pineapple). RNAcentral describes it as "long non-coding RNA (ACOM_LNC031534)". The record is from RNAcentral. Lineage: Eukaryota; Viridiplantae; Streptophyta; Magnoliopsida; Poales; Bromeliaceae.